CCAUCGGCCCUCUUCAGGGCCAUCAAAUGUGUGGAUAAAAGUUAAG
Molecule: non-coding RNA, 46 nt
Organism: Aedes aegypti (yellow fever mosquito)
Lineage: Eukaryota; Metazoa; Arthropoda; Insecta; Diptera; Culicidae
Source: Rfam